GGGGGGGGGGGGGGGGGGAGG
RNAcentral lists this microRNA (21 nucleotides) under Corchorus capsularis. RNAcentral describes it as "sRNA CCACVL1_22312". Lineage: Eukaryota; Viridiplantae; Streptophyta; Magnoliopsida; Malvales; Malvaceae. The record is from RNAcentral.